ACCAUUUUUCGAAAUUCAUUCCGAUUCUGAAAUAACAUACCAAUCAAUGUCUACACAGUCUCGUAAAUCCAUAUAUAUAUCAUUAGGAAUCAAAUCCAAGUCCAUUUACUAUGAUUUUCUCAUUUUCCAUCAAGCCAUUUUCUAAAGGAACUAUAUUUUUCAAUAACCAGUUUCGAUAUCCAACACUAUAUUUCAUCAAUUCC
This 203-nucleotide long non-coding RNA is filed under the name Theobroma cacao (cacao). RNAcentral's name for it is "long non-coding RNA (TCAC_LNC004870)". The record is from RNAcentral. Lineage: Eukaryota; Viridiplantae; Streptophyta; Magnoliopsida; Malvales; Malvaceae.